Molecule: transfer RNA, 67 nt
Filed under: Marmota monax (woodchuck)
Lineage: Eukaryota; Metazoa; Chordata; Mammalia; Rodentia; Sciuridae
Description: tRNA.Ala
Source: RNAcentral
GGUUAUGGCUCAGCUGUAGAGUGCUCGCCUCGCACUUGCAAGGGCCUGGGUUCAAUCCUCAGCACCA